This 365-nucleotide ribosomal RNA is filed under the name uncultured Desulfovibrio sp. RNAcentral describes it as "bacterial SSU rRNA". It matches the Rfam family "Bacterial small subunit ribosomal RNA", at positions 1014 to 1382 of the family's 1533-position model. The record is from RNAcentral. Lineage: Bacteria; Pseudomonadati; Thermodesulfobacteriota; Desulfovibrionia; Desulfovibrionales; Desulfovibrionaceae.
AGCAUAAAGAACCCGGUGGACAGGUGCUGCAUGGCUGUCGUCAGCUCGUGUCGUGAGAUGUUGGUUAAGUCCCGCAACGAGCGCAACCCUCGCCUUUAGUUGCCAGCAUUCAGUUGGGCACUCUAGAGGGACUGCCGGUGUCAAACCGGAGGAAGGUGGGGAUGACGUCAAGUCCUCAUGGCCUUUAUGUCUAGGGCUACACACGUACUACAAUGGCCGGUACAAAGGGCAGCCACUCAGCGAUGAGGCGCUAAUCCCAUAAAGCCGGUCUCAGUCCGGAUCGCAGUCUGCAACUCGACUGCGUGAAGUUGGAAUCGCUAGUAAUCGUAGAUCAGCAUGCUACGGUGAAUACGUUCCCGGGCCUU